CCUACGGGAGGCUGCAGUAGGGAAUAUUGCUCAAUGGGGGAAACCCUGAAGCAGCAACGCCGCGUGGAGGAUGAAGGUUUUCGGAUUGUAAACUCCUUUUGUUAGAGAAGAUAAUGACGGUAUCUAACGAAUAAGCACCGGCGAACUCCGUGCCAGCAGCCGCGGUAAUACGGAGGGUGCAAGCGUUACUCGGAAUCACUGGUCGUAAAGCGCGCGUAGGCGGGAUAGCAAGUCAGAUGUGAAAUCCUAUGGCUUAACCAUAGAACUGCAUUUGAAACUGUUAUUCUAGAGUAUGGGAGAGGUAGGUGGAAUUCUUGGUGUAGGGGUAAAAUCCGUAGAGAUCAAGAGGAAUACUCAUUGCGAAGGCGACCUGCUAGAACAUAACUGACGCUGAUGCGCGAAAGCGUGGGGAGCAAACAGGAUUAGAUACCCUAGUAGUC
RNAcentral lists this ribosomal RNA (440 nucleotides) under uncultured bacterium. RNAcentral describes it as "partial 16S ribosomal RNA". It matches the Rfam family "Bacterial small subunit ribosomal RNA", at positions 338 to 795 of the family's 1533-position model. The record is from RNAcentral.